GACGAACGCUGGCGGCGUGCUUAACACAUGCAAGUCGAACGGAAAGGCCCUGCUUUUGUGGGGUGCUCGAGUGGCGAACGGGUGAGUAACACGUGAGUAACCUGCCCUUGACUUUGGGAUAACUUCAGGAAACUGGGGCUAAUACCGGAUAGGAGCUCCUGCUGCAUGGUGGGGGUUGGAAAGUUUCGGCGGUUGGGGAUGGACUCGCGGCUUAUCAGCUUGUUGGUGGGGUAGUGGCUUACCAAGGCUUUGACGGGUAGCCGGCCUGAGAGGGUGACCGGCCACAUUGGGACUGAGAUAGGGCGCAGACUGCUACGGGAGGCAGCAGGGGGGAAUAUUGCCCAAUGGGCGGAAGCCUGAUGCAGCAACGCCGCGUGCGGGAAGACGGCCUUCGGGUUGUAAACCGCUUUCGCCUGUGACGAAGCGUGAGUGACGGUAAUGGGUAAAGAAGCACCGGCUAACUACGUG
RNAcentral lists this ribosomal RNA (468 nucleotides) under uncultured bacterium. Its description in RNAcentral is "partial 16S ribosomal RNA". It matches the Rfam family "Bacterial small subunit ribosomal RNA", at positions 28 to 507 of the family's 1533-position model. The record is from RNAcentral.